RNAcentral lists this unclassified non-coding RNA (356 nucleotides) under Pleosporales sp. OTU_010. RNAcentral describes it as "sequence contains ITS1, 5.8S rRNA gene and ITS2". The stretch from base 167 to 320 matches the Rfam family "5.8S ribosomal RNA". The record is from RNAcentral. Lineage: Eukaryota; Fungi; Ascomycota; Dothideomycetes; Pleosporales.
GGGGGGCCGGACCCCGAAACUGCUUGCAGCUUUGGGCCUGCCCUGUCUGAUAUUCUACCCAUGUCUUUUGCGUACUUUUCGUUUCCUUGGUGGGCUUGCCUGCCAAUAGGACACCAAUUAACCUUUUUGUAAUUGCAACAGCGUCUGAAAAAACUUUAAUAGUUACAACUUUCAACAACGGAUCUCUUGGUUCUGGCAUCGAUGAAGAACGCAGCGAAAUGCGAUAAGUAGUGUGAAUUGCAGAAUUCAGUGAAUCAUCGAAUCUUUGAACGCACAUUGCGCCCCUUGGUAUUCCAUGGGGCAUGCCUGUUCGAGCGUCAUUUGUACCCUCAGCUCUGCUUGGUGUUGGGUGUUUG